This 88-nucleotide transfer RNA is filed under the name Jatropha curcas. It matches the Rfam family "tRNA". Rfam says of the family: Transfer RNA (tRNA) molecules are approximately 80 nucleotides in length. Their secondary structure includes four short double-helical elements and three loops (D, anti-codon, and T loops). The record is from Rfam by way of RNAcentral. Lineage: Eukaryota; Viridiplantae; Streptophyta; Magnoliopsida; Malpighiales; Euphorbiaceae.
CCGACCUUAGCUCAGUUGGUAGAGCGGAGGACUGUAGUUGUAAAAAAUUGUCAUCCUUAGGUCGCUGGUUCGAAAACGGCAGGUCGGA